Molecule: non-coding RNA, 22 nt
Filed under: Arabidopsis thaliana (thale cress)
Lineage: Eukaryota; Viridiplantae; Streptophyta; Magnoliopsida; Brassicales; Brassicaceae
Source: RNAcentral
AUUACGGAGAGCAUCGGUGCUA